CCUGCUUGUGGUCUCACAUUGUACCUCACUAUAGCAUAGAGCUUCCAGGUCCACAUGGAAUAAUGAUGGCAUAGCAACUGCCUUGUGCCUCCCAGAGUCAGAACCCGAUGGGCAUGAUGACUCCGUUGCUGAAAUUUCUGUGACUAGGUCACCUGGGAAGGAAGAGGCUUUCUCUAGAUAAAGGGCCAGCCUACCGCAGAACUGCAUGUGUGUUGUGAAGAUAGAUGCCUUCAAGGAAAAAACUCUGAGUGAGGUCCUAGCAUUUUAAUGGCUUCUAUGUACCAAGCCUCACGGCCCAGCAUAACACCUGCUCUGUUUCAUCACAACACUCAAGCCAUGCUACUUUUCUACCCAUAAGAACUGCCUUUUCCAAGCUGCCGGGCUGUCCAGUGAAAAAGAAGGCUCAAUGUCUUUUCAGCCCAACACACAGCACUGAGCUAGAGUUACUCUGCUGGUCUCCACUAUCUCCUGGCCUAUUUCCAGCUUUAAAACUUCUCAAAAUCAAAACUGCUUUCCAUAUUUAUUUUUUCAGUUCCAUAGAUAAUCCAUUUGAUUUUUGUUUACCCCGAUUAUCCCAAAUUGGAUGGUCUCAGAUGUGUUGAAAAAACUGUCUCUAGGCAAGGCCACAAGGUGGGGCAGUAAUAAGGAAUUGAAGGACUUGCGGUCUCUUCUGAAGUCUAAAUGAUAUUUUCUAGAACAUGCUAAA
RNAcentral lists this long non-coding RNA (706 nucleotides) under Vulpes vulpes (red fox). RNAcentral's name for it is "lncRNA (ENSVVUG00000019896.1)". Lineage: Eukaryota; Metazoa; Chordata; Mammalia; Carnivora; Canidae. The record is from RNAcentral.